AUUUCAUCUCUAAGAUACUAAUUCGGAAACAAAAGUGGCCAGAUGGAGUUGAUUGACAGGGCUUCUCUGAGAGGAGGACGAGCUGUAUACACUGAGGAAGGGAAUCAUGCCUGGGCUGGUGUUUUAUCCUCUCUGAAUGCAGCAAAGGAAGGGUUUUGCUGUCAAGAUGGAUUGGAUCAUCGUUUGAUCUUUUAUCACGGUGUUCACCUGGCUCCUGAAGGACAGACAUCAGCAGCAGAAAACAUCAUUACUCCCAACUGGCCUACAAGUAUUUGUCAACAUUUUUCACAUGUGAAAUGGAAAGAGUACCUGUCUCUACAUACAUACUGAGGAAUUCGGCGGAGGCUGUUGGAGUCAGUGGUUGUGGCAUGCCAGUUCCAUCAAGAAGUCUCACCUUCGGGCAGCACACUGAUGCAGCCUUCCAGGGAUUGGUGGCACCUUUGUUGCUGGGUCCCAUGGGAGGUUUCCAGAGGGUGGCGCUGACUCAUGGAGUUCUGUGGCCUGAGAAGACAGAUUUAGUGUUACUUCUAGAACAGUGGCUCCCCAAAGGUCCAAGUCCAGUCGGGUCUGAUCAACUUACAAGGAAAAAUGUGGUAUGUGUCCAUGUGUGAGUAUGUGAAUGUGCGUAUUAUUGCCAACUGUUCUUUCUUUUGAGAUAAUGUCCUUCCCACUCUUUGGCAUUAAAUUGGUGUUUUUAACGUCCAUAAAAUGUACUCGUCCAUAAGAUUCCAAAGUCUGCUUGGAAACACUGAGCUGAAGAACAAC
This 765-nucleotide long non-coding RNA is filed under the name Equus caballus (horse). Its description in RNAcentral is "lncRNA (ENSECAG00000028994.2)". Lineage: Eukaryota; Metazoa; Chordata; Mammalia; Perissodactyla; Equidae. The record is from RNAcentral.